ACGAUGAACCCGCUUCGGUGGGGGAUUAGUGGCGAACGGGUGCAGUAACACGUGGGCAAUCUGCCCUGCACUCUGGGACAAGCCCUGGAAACGGGGUCUAAUACCGGAUGAUACCCGGGGGCGCAUGCCCUUGGGUUGAAAGCUCCGGCGGUGCAGGAUGAGCCCGCGGCCUAUCAGCUUGUUGGUGGGGUGAUGGCCUACCAAGGCGACGACGGGUAGCCGGCCUGAGAGGGCGACCGGCCACACUGGGACUGAGACACGGCCCAGACUCCUACGGGAGGCAGCAGUGGGGAAUAUUGCACAAUGGGCGAAAGCCUGAUGCAGCGACGCCGCGUGAGGGAUGACGGCCUUCGGGUUGUAAACCUCUUUCAGCAGGGAAGAAGCGAAAGUGACGGUACCUGCAGAAGAAGCGCCGGCUAACUACGUGCCAGCAGCCGCGGUAAUACGUAGGGCGCAAGCGUUGUCCGGAAUUAUUGGGCGUAAAGAGCUCGUAGGCGGCUUGUCACGUCGGUUGUGAAAGCCCGGGGCUUAACCCCGGGUCUGCAGUCGAUACGGGCAGGCUAGAGUGUGGUAGGGGAGAUCGGAAUUCCUGGUGUAGCGGUGAAAUGCGCAGAUAUCAGGAGGAACACCGGUGGCGAAGGCGGAUCUCUGGGCCAUUACUGACGCUGAGGAGCGAAAGCGUGGGGAGCGAACAGGAUUAGAUACCCUG
Molecule: ribosomal RNA, 709 nt
Filed under: Streptomyces sp.
Lineage: Bacteria; Bacillati; Actinomycetota; Actinomycetes; Kitasatosporales; Streptomycetaceae
Description: bacterial SSU rRNA
Rfam family: Bacterial small subunit ribosomal RNA
Source: RNAcentral